UAACCCAAUCACGAAAAUGGCUGA
Molecule: microRNA, 24 nt
Filed under: Caenorhabditis briggsae
Lineage: Eukaryota; Metazoa; Nematoda; Chromadorea; Rhabditida; Rhabditidae
Description: cbr-miR-7580
Source: miRBase by way of RNAcentral